AGCCAUCUAAUGGAAAUUGGUAAACCUCGGAAGCUCAAACCUUCUGGAUAUCCCGGUUCGAGUCCGGGGAUGGCUACCA
RNAcentral lists this transfer RNA (79 nucleotides) under compost metagenome. RNAcentral's name for it is "tRNA-Leu". The record is from RNAcentral.